GAAAUGCGAUAAGUAAUGUGAAUUGCAGAAUUCAGUGAAUCAUCGAAUCUUUGAACGCACAUUGCGCCCCCUGGUAUUCCGGGGGGCAUGCCUGUUCGAGCGUCAUUUCACCACUCAAGCCUCGCUUGGUAUUGGGCGACGCGGUCCGCCGCGCGCCUCAAAUCGACCGGCUGGGUCUUUCGUCCCCUCAGCGUUGUGGAAACUAUUCGCUAAAGGGUGCCGCGGGAGGCCACGCCGUAAAACAACCCCAUUUCUGAGGUUGACCUCGGAUCAGGUAGGGAUACCCGCUGAACUUAAGC
Molecule: unclassified non-coding RNA, 299 nt
Filed under: plant metagenome
Description: partial contains 5.8S ribosomal RNA, internal transcribed spacer 2, and large subunit ribosomal RNA
Rfam family: 5.8S ribosomal RNA (bases 1-105)
Source: RNAcentral